Molecule: ribosomal RNA, 573 nt
Filed under: Pellonula vorax (bigtoothed pellonula)
Lineage: Eukaryota; Metazoa; Chordata; Actinopteri; Clupeiformes; Clupeidae
Description: partial 16S ribosomal RNA
Rfam family: Bacterial large subunit ribosomal RNA
Source: RNAcentral
CGCCUCCUGCCCACAACAAUAUAGGAGGUCCCGCCUGCCCUGUGACCAAAAGUUUAACGGCCGCGGUAUUUUAACCGUGCAAAGGUAGCGCAAUCAAUUGUCUUUUAAAUGGAGACCUGUAUGAAUGGCAUAACGAGGGUUUAACUGUCUCUUUUUUCCAGUCAAUGAAACUGAUCUGCCCGUGCAGAAGCGGGCAUAUUAACACAAGACGAGAAGACCCUAUGGAGCUUUAGACGCCCACCAACUAUGAAAAGCAACCAAGUUAAUGGAAACCCAAAUAACAUAGCCCUGGCACAAACGUCUUCGGUUGGGGCGACCACGGGGGAAAACAAAGCCCCCAAGAGGACAGGGGAAUACCCUGAAACCAAGAGCCACAGCUCUAAGUCACAAAAUAUUUGACCGAAUAAUGAUCCGGCCCACGCCGAUCAACGGACCAAGUUACCCUAGGGAUAACAGCGCAAUCCUCUCCCAGAGUCCAUAUCGACGAGAGGGUUUACGACCUCGAUGUUGGAUCAGGACAUCCUAAUGGUGCAGCCGCUAUUAAGGGUUCGUUUGUUCAACGAUUAAAGUCCU